Molecule: long non-coding RNA, 2172 nt
Organism: Anas platyrhynchos (mallard)
Lineage: Eukaryota; Metazoa; Chordata; Aves; Anseriformes; Anatidae
Source: RefSeq, a predicted model, not a curated record
CUCCAUGGGCUGCAGGGGGACAUCCUGCUUCACCAUGGUCCUCACCACAGGCCGCAGGGGACUUCUGCUCCGGCACCUGGAGCACCUCUCCCCCUCCUUCUACACUGACCUUGGCACCUGCAAGGCCAUUUCUCACUGCCUUGACUCCCCCGGCUGCUGUGUGGCGCAGCGUUUUUUUCCCUGUCUUAAAUAUGCUCUCACAGAGGCGCAAAACAACAUCGCGUAUUGGCUCAGAUCUGGAAAACAAUGGGGCCCUUCCCAAACAUGGGGCGGCUUCUAGAUCUUUCUCACAGAAACCACCCCUAUGGCUCCCUGCUACCAAAACCUUGCCAAGUAAACCCACUACAGUUGCAUGAGUAACAGGUAUUUUUUCCAGUGAGCAAUGAGGUAAUCAGAUCCUACUCACAUAAGAAUUGUACCUGUGUUCAUGACAGAGGUAUUCAAAUCUGUCUGGGGCAUUGUUGUAUACCACGUAUCAACCAUAUUCCUGCUUUUAUAGAGAACAGAUACAAAACUUGUCAAAUGUCAACCAGAAAUGGAUUCAAAGGUGGACAACAUGUUUUAUGCAGAUGGAGUAUUGCUCUCCCAUAAACAGCAAGCCACUGUUCAAGUAAGAACUUUUUCAUUAAAUAUGUGGUAAAAAUUAUCAGUGUAGAGGUAUCUGUGGUGAUUAUGCAAGAAAAAGUGUUGAGGACCAUGAAAUCACACAAGAGGUUUGCUUUAUAGCUAGCAGUCAUUAUAGAGGACAGUCAUUAUAUGUGCUCUAGCCUAUAGCUCUAGGCUACCACCAGAGCUCACCUGAAUUUGAGCAUUGUCAUUUGUCUGUUACAGGUCACCUUCUCUCGGUGCCUGAUUCUGAAGACACUUUAAUCAAAACAAAUUGGGUUACUUUAAACAGUGCAAAUGGCAGGUCUUCUUUGUUCCAGGUCAUUUUGACUGUUACAGAGUACUAGUAACAGCACUUCUGUAAGGAGAUCUAAUGGGGAGAGUAAUCUCAGGUAGAAGAAAAAGGGACAACAGGGCUAAAAUGGCAAUGGUAGCCUUUUCUGUUGAUACAGCUGAGUCACAAAGAGGCUGUUUAUUCACAGUAUAGAGAUACUAAUGGUAGGUAUGCAGCCCCAGUGAUACUAGUUGUGACAGGCUAGGAAAUAAACAUCAGCAGCAAUGUGAUCUAGGGAUCAGCAGUGCUAUAAAGCUGAAUAAUGAGAUUCAAGCAGAGGCCGAUUCAAGAAGAGUUUCAGUAUUUUAGCCAGAAUCCAUAUUCCCUUGCUAUGAGCAUAUAUCACAUUAUCAGAUACAGCCAGCUCAGCAAGAUGUCAAGGGUGUAGAAAGUCAUUGCUGCAUUUUAGUGUGGGAUUGACAGCUAUAGGUUUAACUAUACCAGAUGGGCAAACCUGUGGCAUCUGAACAGUUCAAGUGUGGAUCCAUUGUAAAAACUGUGAUGUGAAUUGCUGCGGGCGAGCUCUCCUGGUGGAAAGCCUUCUGGAUUUGUACCAGAAGUGAGGAAAUGAGCCAGCACUGACUGUUUAAGCCAACACCAGCAGGUCUCUCAGGACUCAGCUGUCUGCUCAUCCCACUCUCAGUCCACAGAAAAGUGUUACAUAAAUAACUGUCUAAGGAGAAUGAAUAUUUUCUGACUGUGAACUGCUCUUGACUCCACCAUAGGACAUAGGUGUUUGAUGAAGUCUGAUCUUUGAUAAGAGAGAAGCUAAGGACAGAGCUGCCCUAUUCAUAAGAAAUGGAAUGCUGUAAUCAAGCUAAAGCAACUCUCACUUUUGCCUUCUUCAUUACACAACAGAGGAAACAGGGGCUCCAGAGCUGAUCACAGCACUCCAUGUGGGGGGUCUCCCGAGAGCAGAGCAGAGGGGGACAAUCACCUCCCUCACCCUUCUGGCCAUGCUUUUUUUGAUGCAGCCCAGAUGGUUGGUUUUCUGGGCUGCAUGUCCACAUUGCGAGCUCAUGGCGAGCUUCUUGUCAACCAACACCCCAAGGUCUUUCUCCUCAGGGCUGCUCUCAAUGCAUUCUCCACCCAGCCUGCAUUUAUGCUUGGGGUUGCCCCUGCCCAGAUGCAGGACAUAUACCCAGCUCUGCAUUGGCAACUCCACUCAGAUGGUAUGAGUUGUGAGCCAAAAUUGACUUUGUAACAGUUGUUUUCAUUAAAGAAGGCAUAAA